AUUUCAAGAGGAUGCAGUUUGUCCCAGAAAGAACAUGGCAGCACACGGGGAAGAUGAAGGGGGCCAGUACAGCUUCAGCACUGCCGCACGCAGCAAUUUACCUCAUUCCUAACGAGCAUGGAAACAGUAAAGCUGAAGGCUAAGACAUAAAAGGAGGGCUCAAAGAUUUAGCUUCCAUUGGAGUUUACACAGAAGGAGCAGGAUUGUGAAGAAAGCUCUUAGUCCAAGUUUCUUCACAAAUUGAGAAGCCGGAAAUUUUACAAGAAAAUAAAGAUUUUUUUAAAGA
Cygnus olor (mute swan) is the source of this 286-nucleotide long non-coding RNA. RefSeq lists it as uncharacterized. The record is from RefSeq and is a predicted model, not a curated record. The transcript is spliced from 2 exons. Lineage: Eukaryota; Metazoa; Chordata; Aves; Anseriformes; Anatidae.